UCGUGAUGAGAAGCUUCGUCUGGAUUUAGCUCCGUGAUUUAUUUCAAUUACUGAUGAAAAAAGACUUCUCGAGCAGGAGCUUCACGUCAGACCUCCACCAACCACAUGUUUGUUCUCUAACAGUUUCCAGUGACCAGUCUCACUUCAGGCUGACUGUAGAACAUCUCCAGAUGUUGCUCACCAGAUGUCACCAAGACCUCAUGUGGAAUUUCAAAAUAAAGGCCCUCCAAAGUUGGACAUUUUCCAUAGAAUUGU
Molecule: long non-coding RNA, 255 nt
Organism: Nematolebias whitei (Rio pearlfish)
Lineage: Eukaryota; Metazoa; Chordata; Actinopteri; Cyprinodontiformes; Rivulidae
Exons: 3
Source: RefSeq, a predicted model, not a curated record